Molecule: ribosomal RNA, 509 nt
Filed under: uncultured Desulfobulbus sp.
Lineage: Bacteria; Pseudomonadati; Thermodesulfobacteriota; Desulfobulbia; Desulfobulbales; Desulfobulbaceae
Description: bacterial SSU rRNA
Rfam family: Bacterial small subunit ribosomal RNA
Source: RNAcentral
CGCCUUGCCAGCCCGCUCAGAAACUCAAAGGAAUUGAGGGGGCCCGCACAAGCGGUGGAGUAUGUGGUUAAUUCGAUGCAACGCGAAGAACCUUACCUGGUCUUGACAUCCCGGAGACCCUUAGGAAACUAGGGGGUGCUUCCAUCUGGAAGAAUCUGGAGACAGGUGCUGCAUGGCUGUCGUCAGCUCGUGUCGUGAGAUGUUGGGUUAAGUCCCGCAACGAGCGCAACCCUUGCCUUUAGUUGCCAGCAGUUCGGCUGGGCACUCUAAAGGGACUGCCGGUGUUAAACCGGAGGAAGGUGGGGAUGACGUCAAGUCCUCAUGGCCUUUAUGACCAGGGCUACACACGUACUACAAUGGCCGAUACAAAGGGCAGCGACACUGCGAGGUGAAGCCAAUCCCGUAAAAUCGGUCUCAGUCCGGAUUGGAGUCUGCAACUCGACUCCAUGAAGUUGGAAUCGCUAGUAAUCGUGGAUCAGCAUGCCACGGUGAAUACGUUCCCGGGCCUU